UACGGAGGGAGCUAGCGUUAUUCGGAAUUACUGGGCGUAAAGGGAGCGUAGGCGGACAUUUAAGUCAGAGGUGAAAUCCCGGAGCUUAACUUCGGAACUGCCUUUGAUACUGGGUGUCUUGAGUGUGAGAGAGGUAUGUGGAACUCCGAGUGUAGAGGUGAAAUUCGUAGAUAUUCGGAAGAACACCAGUGGCGAAGGCGACAUACUGGCUCAUUACUGACGCUGAGGCUCGAAAGCGUGGGGAGCAAACAGG
RNAcentral lists this ribosomal RNA (253 nucleotides) under uncultured bacterium. Its description in RNAcentral is "partial 16S ribosomal RNA". It matches the Rfam family "Bacterial small subunit ribosomal RNA", at positions 524 to 776 of the family's 1533-position model. The record is from RNAcentral.